GUGCCCUGACCCCGUUUUCGGGGUUCCCAGGUGGAUUUUGGGGCUCCCAGGUGGAUUUUGGGGCUCCCCGGUGGAUUUUGGGGGUUCCCAGGUGGAUUUUGGGGUGCCCUGACCCAUUUCCGGGGUUCCCAGGUGGAUUUUGGGGGUUCCCAGGUGGAUUUUGGGGCUCCCCGGUGGAUUUUGGGGUGCUGGGCUGGAUUUUGGGGUAUCCUGACCCCAUUUUCGGGGUUCCCAGGU
RNAcentral lists this long non-coding RNA (237 nucleotides) under Corvus moneduloides (New Caledonian crow). RNAcentral describes it as "lncRNA (ENSCMUG00000020292.1)". The record is from RNAcentral. Lineage: Eukaryota; Metazoa; Chordata; Aves; Passeriformes; Corvidae.